AAAUUCAAAAAGGAGAUUUUGUAUGAUGGCCAAUAAAACAAUAUUAUAGGUACAAAUGUACAUGAAACUGUACAGCCUUCAACAUGACAUCUUGAUACAUGCUUCAACUUCUGAAUGUUUAGUGUAUCAGUGGCCUAGAAUAUAGAUUUCACUUUGACGACAGAAAACAAUUUUUAAUGAAUUAUUCAGAAAUACAACAAACUACCACAUUAUCCUUUAAUAUUUACUGAAAAAUCAUUCAGCUGGAUUCACUACACAAUUACAAGCUAGGAGAAAAGUUUGGACAAUCCGCUCAAAAUCUGACUGUCUAAUUAUAAAUGUAUAUAUUCUACACAAUUCAUACACACUUCUAAAAAUAUCCCAAAU
RNAcentral lists this long non-coding RNA (366 nucleotides) under Mytilus galloprovincialis (Mediterranean mussel). Lineage: Eukaryota; Metazoa; Mollusca; Bivalvia; Mytilida; Mytilidae. The record is from RNAcentral.